UUGGACACUGCCAGGGAUGCACAGGCAGCGUUACGCUUUCAUGGCCAGUGGAGUCCAGCACUAAACUGGGCUAAACUCCAUGAUUUAACUUCUAAUUGAAACUGGUGUCUUGACUAGGCCAAGUUGCUUGUCUCCUGUGUCCAGUUCUUCCCACUGGGCACAUGGGACAUGUGGGAUGGCUGACUCAGUGUUGUAGCCUUCCACAGGGCUGAGGGGGACACAUCGAGACUCCCAGUCCUGGUGUAGAUUCCCAGUGGCACCUGAAGCACCCAAGCAGGGCUGGAAGCUGCUGCACGGGUCCUAUAGAAAACCUGUGUCACUUGGGAGCCAGGUUUGACCCCCGAGAGAUGUCCCUGUGCACUCAACCAAACUAACCCUGGCAUGUCCUGAGAUAUCUCACCAGCUUUUGGAGACUUCACCCGCCUUGUCCUGAGCUUCUGAUUUCCAAGUGUUGUUAGUCAGUAUUAGUAGGAAAAGGAGGUGUAAGAAAGAGUUCCUUGAGGGCACCCUCGAUGUUUCUGGUCGAUGCUUGGGUGCACCAGAGCGGAGAAAUGUUCAAUCAAGCCUCUGAACACGGGGAUGUGUCAAUAGCAGAAUGAAUUUUGGGCUGAAGGAGAUCCAGCACAUCCAUUUCAGUAAACAGGAGGUAUCUGCAGACAAUGGUAAAAGUCAGUGCUGUAAAGCAAAUUAAACCUUUCCCUUCUUUCUCUA
This is a non-coding RNA of Taeniopygia guttata (zebra finch), 711 nucleotides long. The record is from RefSeq and is a predicted model, not a curated record. NCBI's taxonomy places the organism in Eukaryota, Metazoa, Chordata, Aves, Passeriformes, Estrildidae.